This 258-nucleotide ribosomal RNA is filed under the name Rhizopus microsporus. RNAcentral's name for it is "5.8S ribosomal RNA". The stretch from base 1 to 153 matches the Rfam family "5.8S ribosomal RNA". Rfam says of the family: 5.8S ribosomal RNA (5.8S rRNA) is a component of the large subunit of the eukaryotic ribosome. Lineage: Eukaryota; Fungi; Mucoromycota; Mucoromycetes; Mucorales; Rhizopodaceae. The record is from RNAcentral.
AACUUUUAACAAUGGAUCUCUUGGUUCUCGCAUCGAUGAAGAACGUAGCAAAGUGCGAUAACUAGUGUGAAUUGCAUAUUCGUGAAUCAUCGAGUCUUUGAACGCAGCUUGCACUCUAUGGAUCUUCUAUAGAGUACGCUUGCUUCAGUAUCAUAACCAACCCACACAUAAAAUUUAUUUUAUGUGGUGAUGGACAAGCUCGGUUAAUUUAAUUAUUAUACCGAUUGUCUAAAAUACAGCCUCUUUGUAAUUUUCAUU